RNA transcript from Sapajus apella (tufted capuchin), 1037 nucleotides. It is a transcript of the gene named dnaJ homolog subfamily C member 8 pseudogene, with no coding region annotated. NCBI's taxonomy places the organism in Eukaryota, Metazoa, Chordata, Mammalia, Primates, Cebidae. The record is from RefSeq and is a predicted model, not a curated record. The transcript has a single exon.
AAUGGCAGCUUCAGGAGAGAGCGGGACUUCGGGCGGCGGAGGCAGCACAGAGGCAGCAUUUAUGACCUUCUACAGUGAGGUGAAACAAAUAGAGAAGAGAGACUCGGUUCUAACAUCCAAAAAUCAGAUUGAAAGCCUGACCCAUCCUGGUUCCUCUUACUUCAAUUUGAACCCAUUUGAGGUUCUUCAGAUCGAUCCUGAAGUUACAGAUGAAGAAAUAAAAAAGAGGUUUCGGCAGUUAUCCAUAUUGGUGCAUCCUGACAAAAAUCGAGAUGAUGCUGACAGAGCACAAAAGGCUUUUGAAGCUGUGGACAAAGCUUACAAGUUGCUACUGGAUCAGGAGCUAAAGAAGAGGGCCCUGGAUAUAAUUCAGGCAGGAAAACAAUACGUGGAACACACUGUGAAAGAGCAAAAAAAAAACAAUUAAAGAAGGAAGGAAAACCUACGAUUGUAGAGGAGGAUGAUCCUGAGCUGUUCAAACAAGCUGUAUAUAAACGGACAAUGAAACUCUUUGCCGAGCUGGAAAUUAAAAGGAAAGAGAGAGAAGCCAAAGAGAUGCAUGAAAGGAAACGACAAAGGGAGGAAGAGAUCGAAGCUCAAGAAAAAGCCAAACAAGAAAGAGAGUGGCAGAAAAACUUUGAGGAAAGUCGAGAUGGUCGUGUAGACAGCUGGCGAAAUUUCCAAGCCAAUACAAAGGGGAAGAAAGAGAAGAAAAAUCGGACCUUCCUGAGACCACCAAAAGUAAAAAUGGAGCAGCGUGAGUGACCGCCCAGGGUCACAGGCACAGAACCUUCCCCCUGCUGUCUCCCUUCCUGCUUCGAAGGACUCAUUCUUUCCUCCCACUUCCACCCCAACAUAGAGUAGUAUUUGCUUUUUAGUCCAUUUUUUUUCAAUACAAUUUAAUAUCGAUCAGAGUAAUUCUUUAGUACAUUGAAAUGAGGGGCUUAGUUUAAAAAGAAGACCUUCCCCUCUCCCUGCCCCUAGAACCACCAGGAUUGGAAGGUGCCACCACUGGUGCUGCCUUCUCUUCCCACAGC